RNAcentral lists this transfer RNA (78 nucleotides) under Marmota monax (woodchuck). Its description in RNAcentral is "tRNA.Ala". The record is from RNAcentral. Lineage: Eukaryota; Metazoa; Chordata; Mammalia; Rodentia; Sciuridae.
UGUUUUGUGGCUUAGCGGUAGAGCGCUCAUUUAGCACGUGCUAAAUAGAGGCCCUGGGUUCUAUCCUCAGCACCACAU